CUCACCGUCCCCUCAAAAAAAAAAAAUCUCCCCGUCUUUUCCUAAUCUACUGCGGGCGGUUUUUAUUUGGCGUGCUGCUCGGCGGCGCGGUCUUCGAUGGCGUGGUCGCUGGGGCAAUUGGGCGGCGUCUCCCUAGGUCUUGGGCGGUGUUGUUGCUGGUGAUCGCGGCGGCUCUCCAGUGCAUGGGUUGGUAUGUGACUGCAUCUCCGCUGUUUGGAUUGAAGUUUGGUUGGGUGUGAGUGCACGGGAUGAGGUGAGCAACCCCAAAUCUAGCGAUUUCCGUUCUAAAAUUCCAAUUAUAUCCCACUUACGUUUCCCUUCGUCAUUCUCUUUCCAAAUUGUUUUUUGUGCAUUUGAGCGUUCCGAUCUGCUCGCUCCGGUGCCCCGCGAGGUCCCAAUUUGACUACAAGCCGGUGGAUGGUUCUCCCGAUGGUGGAAUUGAAGGGGCCCCAAUGGAUAAGGACGUGACAGGCAAGCUGGAGGCCACCACUACCAGCGUCCUCAAGCUCUACCACUAAUCAUUUAUCUAGCACACAUCACCACCUGGGUUAUGUGGCUCAGCGCAUGGAGUAAUUAGAUGGUCCUUCUCCUGUGAUUUACUAGAUUGUCAGCAAUGAUUCAAAGGUAGCGUAACAAGCAUAAGUAGAUACCGACCCAGACAAAGAAACCCACUAAAGAGAUGGCAGUAGUCUUGGUUGCUUAUCCUGAAGUUCAUGAUCCUGCAUGCGAGCAAAGGAUGUGAUAAGCGCAGUUUUGUCUCUGUAGUUUUGUCUCUAUAGUUUUGUAGACUUCAUUCAUCAUGACGAUUUUAUGGAGUCUGAACAAUGUGUAGCUGCAAUGGAGGUUCCAGGAAGACUUCAAGAUGCUAGGCAUCAACCAUUUUGAGGUCGUUUUAGCAAGACAUGAUGUUUCAGUGCAUAUAGUGCAGUGUAACAUAUCAAGUCAGUUUGUUUCUGUAAUUAUACGGCCUUGUCCAUAUGUUUUACCCCAACCAUCAGUAUUUUGCAUGAUGCCCUAGGUAAUUUGUGUUCAGAAAAUUUACAUUGUGUA
Long non-coding RNA from Triticum aestivum (bread wheat), 1050 nucleotides. RefSeq lists it as uncharacterized. The transcript is spliced from 4 exons. NCBI's taxonomy places the organism in Eukaryota, Viridiplantae, Streptophyta, Magnoliopsida, Poales, Poaceae. The record is from RefSeq and is a predicted model, not a curated record.